Molecule: ribosomal RNA, 907 nt
Filed under: anaerobic digester metagenome
Description: bacterial SSU rRNA
Rfam family: Bacterial small subunit ribosomal RNA
Source: RNAcentral
AGAGUUUGAUCCUGGCUCAGAACGAACGCUGGCGGCGUGGAUUAGGCAUGCAAGUCGAACGAGAAUCUGGAGGUUCAAGUUUUCGGACAAGAACUUUCGGAGGAAAGUGGCGGAAGGGUGAGUACAACAUGGAUAAUCUACCUUCAAGUUGGGUAUAGCUUCCCGAAAGGGGAGAUAAUCCCGAAUGUGGUGAUCCGGCGCCUGUCGGAGAAUCCAAAGGUGGGGACCGCAAGGCCUGCCGCUUGAAGAUGAGUCCGUGCACUAUCAGCUAGUUGGUGAGGUAAUGGCUCACCAAGGCGAUGACGGUUAGCUGGUCUGAGAGGAUGGUCAGCCACACUGGGACUGAGAUACUGCCCAGACUCCUACGGGAGGCUGCAGUCGAGAAUCAUUCGCAAUGGGCGCAAGCCUGACGGUGCGACGUCGCGUGGAGGAUGAAGGUCUUCGGAUUGUAAACUCCUGUCAUGUGGGAUAAAUGGCCAGGGCAUGAAUAGUGCCUUGGAAUGAUAGUACCACAGGAGGAAGGGACGGCUAACUCUGUGCCAGCAGCCGCGGUAAUUCAGAGGUCCCGAGCGUUGUUCGGAUUUACUGGGCGUAAAGGGAGCGUAGGCGGUUUGGUGUGUCGAAUGUGAAAGCCCACAACUCAACUGUGGAAUGGCAUUCGAAACUACUGAGCUAGAGUACUGGAGAGGAGAGCGGAAUUCUUGGUGUAGCGGUGAAAUGCGUAGAUAUCAAGAGGAACACCGGUGGCGAAGGCGGCUCUCUGGACAGAUACUGACGCUGAGGCUCUAAAGUUAGGGGAGCAAACAGGAUUAGAUACCCUGGUAGUCCUAACCGUAAACGGUGUACACUUGGUGUGCGAGGAAUUGUCCCUUUGCGCGCCGGAGCUAACGCGUUAAGUGUACCGCCU